This 74-nucleotide small RNA is filed under the name Sphingobium fontiphilum. RNAcentral describes it as "Sphingobium sp. Chen 16-4 Makes More Granules Regulator RNA (mmgR)". It matches the Rfam family "Makes More Granules Regulator RNA (mmgR)". Rfam says of the family: SuhB later renamed mmgR (makes more granules regulator) was a putative non-coding RNA found multiple times in the Agrobacterium tumefaciens genome and related alpha-proteobacteria. The record is from Rfam by way of RNAcentral. Lineage: Bacteria; Pseudomonadati; Pseudomonadota; Alphaproteobacteria; Sphingomonadales; Sphingobiaceae.
AGAAAAGGCCUUUCAGGCAUCCUCUCCUAAAACUUCCGGGCCGGCGUUCGCGUCGGCCCUUUUUUUUGUGCGCC